GGCAGUUGUGGCUUAGUGGUUUAGGCUCUGGGUUACUGAUCGGAAGGUCGGGGGUUCAAGCCCCCAGCAAGCUGCCA
Ameiurus melas (black bullhead) is the source of this 77-nucleotide non-coding RNA. The record is from the annotation of a GenBank genome assembly. Lineage: Eukaryota; Metazoa; Chordata; Actinopteri; Siluriformes; Ictaluridae.